GAUGAACGCUAGCGGCAGGCUUAACACAUGCAAGUCGAGGGGUAUAGGGAGCUUGCUUCCUAGAGACCGGCGCACGGGUGCGUAACGCGUAUGCAAUCUACCUUUUGCAGAGGGAUAGCCCAGAGAAAUUUGGAUUAAUACCUCAUAGUAUAGCAGUUUCGCAUGAAACCACUAUUAAAGUCACAACGGCAAAAGAUGAGCAUGCGUCCCAUUAGCUUGUUGGUAAGGUAACGGCUUACCAAGGCAACGAUGGGUAGGGGUCCUGAGAGGGAGAUCCCCCACACUGGUACUGAGACACGGACCAGACUCCUACGGGAGGCAGCAGUGAGGAAUAUUGGACAAUGGGCGCAAGCCUGAUCCAGCCAUGCCGCGUGCAGGAUGACGGUCCUAUGGAUUGUAAACUGCUUUUGUACAGGAAGAAACACUACUUCGUGAAGUAGCUUGACGGUACUGUAAGAAUAAGGAUCGGCUAACUCCGU
RNAcentral lists this ribosomal RNA (479 nucleotides) under uncultured bacterium. RNAcentral's name for it is "bacterial SSU rRNA". It matches the Rfam family "Bacterial small subunit ribosomal RNA", at positions 28 to 506 of the family's 1533-position model. The record is from RNAcentral.